UACGGAGGGUGCAAGCGUUAUCCGGAAUGAUUGGGCGUAAAGAGCUCGUAGGCGGUGUGUUACGUCGGCCGUGAAAACCUGCAGCUUAACUGUGGGCGUGCGGUCGAUACGGGCAUCACUGGAGUUCGGCAGGGGAGACUGGAAUUCCUGGUGUAGCGGUGAAAUGCGCAGAGAUCAGGAGGAACACCGGUGGCGAAGGCGGGUCUCUGGGCCGAUACUGACGCUGAGGAGCGAAAGCGUGGGGAGCGAACAGG
Molecule: ribosomal RNA, 254 nt
Filed under: uncultured bacterium
Lineage: Bacteria
Description: partial 16S ribosomal RNA
Rfam family: Bacterial small subunit ribosomal RNA
Source: RNAcentral